This 393-nucleotide long non-coding RNA is filed under the name Ananas comosus (pineapple). RNAcentral describes it as "long non-coding RNA (ACOM_LNC009680)". Lineage: Eukaryota; Viridiplantae; Streptophyta; Magnoliopsida; Poales; Bromeliaceae. The record is from RNAcentral.
CAUUUACACCCUCUUAAGCAGUGUACAUCUUACACUCUACCGUUUAGUUCAGGGUUAAGAAAAAACUAGUUAUUCCAGGGAUAGGAUUAAGUUUAGGGUUAAGGUGGGGUUAGAGUAUUUUUGUGUUUGGUUGGGGGUUAGAGUUAAGCCAGGAUAGUGAAAAAUAGUGUUUGGUUGGAGUAGGUUGGGAUAAGAAGGAUAGUAAAUUAUUAUGAAUAGAAAAUAGUGUUUGAUUGGGGUUUGGUGAGGUUAGGUGGGGUUAGCUAACCCGGAAUAACCCAUUUGGGGUGGGGUUAGCUGGGGUUAGCUAACCCCACCCAUUUUUAGAAGUGUUUGGGGAUAAAAUCAUCUAUUUUUAAAAGUGUUUGGGGAUAAAAUGGGGGUUAAGGGGUU